This is a non-coding RNA of Brassica rapa (field mustard), 89 nucleotides long. The record is from Rfam. Lineage: Eukaryota; Viridiplantae; Streptophyta; Magnoliopsida; Brassicales; Brassicaceae.
CUAUUCUCAAGAGUUCCUUCGAACACUUCACUGAAAAACCUGUCAAUAAUUUUUUUUACUGAAGUGUUUGGAGGAACUCCAGAUAAUAU